RNAcentral lists this ribosomal RNA (1481 nucleotides) under uncultured organism. RNAcentral describes it as "SSU rRNA". It matches the Rfam family "Bacterial small subunit ribosomal RNA". The record is from RNAcentral.
CGCUGGCGGCGUGCUUAACACAUGCAAGUCGAACGAACAACGAUGGAACCUUGCUUCUAUCAAUCUUAGUGGCAAACGGGAGAGUAACGCGUAAUCCACCUGCCCUUCACAGGGGGACAACCGUUGGAAACGACUGCUAAUACCACAUACCAUCUAAUCUCGGGAUCUAGGAUAGAUGAAAGGUGGCCUCUACCUGUACGCUAUCACUGAACGAGGGGAUUGCGUCUGAUUAACUAAUUGGAGGGGUAACGGCCCAACAAGGCGAUGAUCAGUAACCGGGCUGAGACGAUGAACGGCCACAUUGCGACUGAGACUCCGCCCAGACUCCUACGGGAGGCAUCUUCGGGGAAUCUUCCGCAAUGGACGAAAGUCUGACGGAGCAACGCCGCGUGACUGAUGACCGCCUUCGUCUUGUAAAGCUCUGUAAAUCGGGACGAAAGGCCUUCUUGCACAAUAGAGAGAACGAUUGACGGUACCGCAAUAGAAAGCCACGGCUAACUACGUGCCAUCAGCCGCGGUAAUACGUAUGUGGCAAGCGUUGUCCGGAAUUAUUGCGCGUACAGCGCGCGCAGGCUGAUAUGUCAGUCUGUCUUACAACCUCGGAGCUUAACCCCGUGAUGGGAUGACAAACUGCCAAUCUAGAGAAUCGGAGAGCAAAGUGUAAUUCCUAGUGUAGCGGAGAAAUGCGUAGAUAGUAGGAAGAACAGCAGUGGAGAAGGCGACUUUCUGGACGAAAACUGACGAUGAGGCGCGAAAGGCAGGGGAGCGAACGGGAUUAGAUACCUCGUUAGUCCUGGCCGUAAACGAUGGGUACUAGGUGUAGGAGGUAUCGACCCAUUCUGUGCCGGAGUUAACGCAAUAAGUACCCCGCGUGGGGAGUUCGCCAGCAAGGUUGUAACUCAAAGGAAUUGACGGGGGCCCGCACAAGCGGUGGAGUAUGUGGUUUAAUUGGACGCAACGCGAAGAACCUUAGCAGGUCUUGACAUUGAUGGACAGAGCUAGAGAUAGUUCCUCUUUUUCGGAAGCCAGAAAACAGGUGGUGCACGGUUGUCGUCAGCUCGUGUCGUGAGAUGUUGGGUUAAGUCCCGCAACGAGCGCAACCCUUAUCUUAUGUUGCCAGCACUUCGGGUGGGAAUUCAUGAGAGACUGCCGCAGACAAUGGGGAGGAAGGGGGGGAGGAGGUCAAAUCUUCAUGCCCCUUAUGACUUGGGCUCCACACGUAUUCCAAUGGGAGUUAAUAGGCGGAAGCGAGAUCGCGAGAUGGAGCAUACCCGAGAAACACUCUCUCAGUUCGGAUCGUAGGGUGCAUCUCGCGUACGUGAAGUGGGAAUCGAUAGUAAUCGCAGGUCAGCAUACUGCGGUGAAUACGUUCCCGGGCCUUGUACACACCGCCCGUCACCCCACGAAAGUCGGAAGUGCCCAAAGCCGGUGGGGUACCCUUCGGGAGCCAGCCGUCUAAGGUAAAGUCGAUGAUUGGGGUG